This 276-nucleotide ribosomal RNA is filed under the name uncultured bacterium. RNAcentral's name for it is "partial 16S rRNA". It matches the Rfam family "Bacterial small subunit ribosomal RNA", at positions 506 to 781 of the family's 1533-position model. The record is from RNAcentral.
GGCCAGCCGCCGCGGUAAUACAGAGGGUGCGAGCGUUGUUCGGAAUUAUUGGGCGUAAAGCGCUGGUAGGUGGCUUGUUAAGUCGCGUGUGAAAUCUCCAGGCUCAACCUGGAAAGUGCGCGCGAAACUGGCGAGCUUGAGUGCCGGAGAGGGUCGCGGAAUUCCCGGUGUAGAGGAGAAAUCGGUAGAUAUCGGGAGGAACACCAGAGGCGAAGGCGGCGACCUGGAAGGUAACUGACACUGAGCAGCGAAAGCGUGGGGAGAAAACAGGAGUAG